This 75-nucleotide transfer RNA is filed under the name Phyllymenia turuturu. RNAcentral's name for it is "Grateloupia turuturu tRNA-Gly". It matches the Rfam family "tRNA". From Rfam's summary of the family: Transfer RNA (tRNA) molecules are approximately 80 nucleotides in length. Their secondary structure includes four short double-helical elements and three loops (D, anti-codon, and T loops). Further hydrogen bonds mediate the characteristic L-shaped molecular structure. tRNAs have two regions of fundamental functional importance: the anti-codon, which is responsible for specific mRNA codon recognition, and the 3' end, to which the tRNAs corresponding amino acid is attached (by aminoacyl-tRNA synthetases). tRNAs cope with the degeneracy of the genetic code in two manners: having more than one tRNA (with a specific anti-codon) for a particular amino acid; and 'wobble' base-pairing, i.e. permitting non-standard base-pairing at the 3rd anti-codon position. Lineage: Eukaryota; Rhodophyta; Florideophyceae; Halymeniales; Halymeniaceae. The record is from RNAcentral. RNAcentral also lists the same sequence under 1 other name.
GCGGGUAUAGAUGAAUUGGUAAAUUCAUUAGUUUUCCAAACUAAAAUCUUACGGGUUCGAAUCCCGUUACCCGCU